UCUACCAAACUAAAAGACAUUUUCUUCUCAAAGCUAUGGCUGCCAACGAACGGAGACACUAGAUCUGGAAGCAGAGUUCUUUUGGAGGUUUUGUUUAUCAACUGAAAUUGAGAGAUUUGUCUCGACAAAUCAAGCAGUGGGAGAAGAGAUGAGGUUAACAGCUGCGGUUGUUUAUUGUAUCUUGAUUAGUUGAGGCAGUGGUGGUCAAUUCUACAACAUCAACAUCAAUUGAAAUUAAGUUAUCAUAUGGAUCAGUUUCGGGGGCUAUUUGGGGCUGGUAUUAGGGUCUUCAAUCAACCCAGACACAAAAAUUCUUUUUUUUUUGCAGUUCAAUUGCUCUUAAUGAGUGCAGGCACUCUUGGUUUUUGUACAUCAGCAAUGGAUUAUUAACGGUGGAAAUCAGUGAAGGCAACAAAUGGAUUUCAGGGGUUCGUACUCGGACUGAAAUUGGGUAUCUUUUGCGAGAUCGAUCUGUGGUGUUUUAAUUCAAGCCAAUCAUUUCAUUUGUUUCCCAACAGCAACGAUUGAAUCUGAGGGUUCUCAUGUGGGUAUGCAACAUGGAUUGGAGUUACAGCAGCGACGAACACAUAUUUUUGGGGGUUUCUGUUGUAAUCUGAAUGGAUGAUUGAGCGACAGAAUUUGGGGGUUAAGUGAUUCAAGUUUGGGUCUUUAUGGAUGUUCAAACGGAGGACGAGAUUGUAGUCUGUUGUGAUGUUUAUGGUAGUCGUGUAUGUAUGGAAGAAGCAUGGAAUUUCAGAUGCCAUGUGGGUGCUAUAAAGAAGUGGAGUUUGUUGUACGGAGUGAGCAGAAAUGGAAUUUGUGUUUAGCUAUUGAUAUUACUCGGAGAAGAAAUGGAAGCUGAAGUUAGAUUGAGAAGAUAGUUUGGGUGUUUGGUUGGGCUAAUUACAGUUUGUGGUAUCUCUAUUACUCGCAAUGGGUUCUGUUUGUUGGAUUUUGGAAGUAGUGGCUAGAUUUGGUGAAGGCCCGAGUUUGGUCAGAAUCAGAAUUGGUGCCUGGUCAGUUGAGGAAGAGAUAAAACUAUUCCCCCAAUCCAGGAAGGGUUUGAAUCAGUCAUUAGAGAUGGGUGUGUUGUGUACCCAAUGGAGAGAUGAAUAAGGUAGGAAAACAGGGUUGAAUCCGAAAGUCAGAGAACAAGUCACAGAUGUUGUGUAUAAAGGAGGACAACAGUCAACCGAUAAGGCAUCCCAAGCAUAUCGUCAUCGUAAUCAGAAGGGCAAGAACGAGCCUAUGAGAUAAAGAGUCAGAAUGAACCAAUCUCAUUCCAGUCAAUGCUCAGGAGUUUAAAAAACAUUUUAGUUGUGACUCAGCAGUACAAACACCAAACAACUUAAAGUCAAGGCCUCUUUCAAUUGAGCUCAAUGGAGUUUGGCAAAUUUUCAAAUCCACUGGAGAGGCUAGAUACUCAUUUUUCUGGAGACAAAACCUUAUUACACAUUUCGGAGAGGAUCGAUGGAGUUUACUCAGGAUUUGAUGAAAUUUCAAAAUCGUGAAAGUUAUACGUACAACUAAAGUUCAUACUUGCAAAAAGAAGCAGAAAGAACAAGAUGUACUUACCUUGCCGCUGACGAUUGGUACGCUGGUGAUGGAGCUGCUGACAGUGAGAAGAGGAGCCGACUGCUGCAAACAAAAGCACGGAGCCG
Molecule: long non-coding RNA, 1661 nt
Organism: Papaver somniferum (opium poppy)
Lineage: Eukaryota; Viridiplantae; Streptophyta; Magnoliopsida; Ranunculales; Papaveraceae
Exons: 2
Source: RefSeq, a predicted model, not a curated record